Molecule: ribosomal RNA, 497 nt
Filed under: uncultured bacterium
Lineage: Bacteria
Description: partial 16S ribosomal RNA
Rfam family: Bacterial small subunit ribosomal RNA
Source: RNAcentral
GAUGAACGCUGGCGGCGUGCCUAAUACAUGCAAGUCGAGCGAACGGACGAGAAGCUUGCUUCUCUGAUGUUAGCGGCGGACGGGUGAGUAACACGUGUAUAACCUACCUAUAAGACUGGGAUAACUUCGGGAAACCGGAGCUAAUACCGGAUAAUAUUUUGAACCGCAUGGUUCAAAAGUGAAAGACGGUCUUGCUGUCACUUAUAGAUGGAUCCGCGCUGCAUUAGCUAGUUGGUAAGGUAACGGCUUACCAAGGCAACGAUGCAUAGCCGACGUGAGAGGGUGUACGGCCCCACUGGAACUGAGACGCGGCACAGACACCUACGGGAGGCAGCAGUAGGGAAUGUUACGCAAUGGGCGAAAGCAUGACGGAGCAACGCCGAGUGAGUGAUGAAGGUGUUCGGAUCGUAAAAAUCUGUUAUUAGGGAAGAACAUAUGUGUAAGUAAAUGUGCACAUAUUGACGGUAACUAAUAAGAAAGCAACGGCUAACUACGUG